RNAcentral lists this non-coding RNA (45 nucleotides) under Schistosoma mattheei. Lineage: Eukaryota; Metazoa; Platyhelminthes; Trematoda; Strigeidida; Schistosomatidae. The record is from RNAcentral.
GCCUAGCUGGUGAGUCCCAACUAGGACGAAACGUGUGUCCUAGAC